ACGGGGUGCAGCAGGCGCGAAACCUUUACACUGCACGCAAGUGCGAUAAAGGGGACCCCAAGUGCGAGGGCAUAUAGUCCUCGCUUUUCACGACUGUAAGGCGGUCGUGGAAUAAGAGCUGGGCAAGACCGGUGCCAGCCGCCGCGGUAAUACCGGCAGCUCAAGUGAUGACCGAUAUUAUUGGGCCUAAAGCGUCCGUAGCCGGCCACGAAGGUUCAUCGGAAAAUCCGCCAGCUCAACUGGCGGGCGUCCGGUGAAAACCACGUGGCUUGGGACCGGAAGGCUCGAGGGGUACGUCCGGGGUAGGAGUGAAAUCCCGUAAUCCUGGACGGACCACCGAUGGCGAAAGCACCUCGAGAAGACGGAUCCGACGGUGAGGGACGAAAGCUAGGGUCUCGAACCGGAUUAGAUACCCGGGUAGUCCUAGCUGUAAACGAUGCUCGCUAGGUGUGACACAGGCUACGAGCCUGUGUUGUGCCGUAGGGAAGCCGAGAAGCGAGCCGCCUGGGAANACUCCGCAAGAGAUA
This 527-nucleotide ribosomal RNA is filed under the name Haloferax volcanii. RNAcentral's name for it is "bacterial SSU rRNA". It matches the Rfam family "Archaeal small subunit ribosomal RNA", at positions 325 to 852 of the family's 1478-position model. Lineage: Archaea; Methanobacteriati; Methanobacteriota; Halobacteria; Halobacteriales; Haloferacaceae. The record is from RNAcentral.